Molecule: ribosomal RNA, 301 nt
Filed under: uncultured bacterium
Lineage: Bacteria
Description: partial 16S ribosomal RNA
Rfam family: Bacterial small subunit ribosomal RNA
Source: RNAcentral
CAGCCGCCGCGGUAAUACGUAGGGUGCAAGCGUUAAUCGGAAUUACUGGGCGUAAAGCGUGCGCAGGCGGUUAUAUAAGUCAGAUGUGAAAUCCCCGGGCUCAACCUGGGAACUGCAUUUGAGACUGUAUGGCUAGAGUGUGUCAGAGGGGGGUAGAACUCCACGUGUAGCAGUGAAAUGCGUAGAUAUGUGGAGGAAUACCGAUGGCGAAGGCAGCCCCCUGGGAUAACACUGACGCUCAUGCACGAAAGCGUGGGGAGCAAACGGGAUUAGAGACCCGCGUAGUCCCUGUCUCUUAUAC